This 426-nucleotide ribosomal RNA is filed under the name uncultured bacterium. RNAcentral describes it as "bacterial SSU rRNA". It matches the Rfam family "Bacterial small subunit ribosomal RNA", at positions 354 to 796 of the family's 1533-position model. The record is from RNAcentral.
GUGAGGAAUAUUGCUCAAUGGACGAAAGUCUGAAGCAGCAACGCCGCGUGAGCGAUGAAGGCCUUCGGGUCGUAAAGCUCUUUUCCCAAGGAAGAGGAAGGACGGUACUUGGGGAAUAAGUCACGGCUAACUACGUGCCAGCAGCCGCGGUAAAACGUAGGUGGCAAGCGUUAUCCGGAUUCACUGGGCGUAAAGGGCACGCAGGCGGCUCUGCAGGUAGGGCAUGAAAUCUCCCGGCUUAACUGGGAGGGGCUGUCCUAAACCGCGGGGCUUGAGGGUGGGAGAGGAAAGUGGAAUUGCCGGUGUAGUGGUGAAAUGCGUAGAGAUCGGCAGGAACACCAGUGGCGAAGGCGACUUUCUGGUCCACCCCUGACGCUCAUGUGCGAAAGCUAGGGUAGCGAACGGGAUUAGAAACCCGAGUAGUCC